AGUGAACGCUGGCGGUAGGCCUAACACAUGCAAGUCGAACGGCAGCACAGUAAGAGCUUGCUCUUACGGGUGGCGAGUGGCGGACGGGUGAGGAAUACAUCGGAAUCUACUUUUUCGUGGGGGAUAACGUAGGGGAACUUACGCUAAUACCGCAUACGACCUACGGGUGAAAGCAGGGGAUCUUCGGACCUUGCGCGAUUGAAUGAGCCGAUGUCGGAUUAGCUAGUUGGCGGGGUAAAGGCCCACCAAGGCGACGAUCCGUAGCUGGUCUGAGAGGAUGAUCAGCCACACUGGAACUGAGACACGGUCCAGACUCCUAUGGGAGGCAGCAGUGGGGAAUAUUGGACAAUGGGCGCAAGCCUGAUCCAGCCAUACCGCGUGGGUGAAGAAGGCCUUCGGGUUGUAAAGCCCUUUUGUUGGGAAAGAAAAGCAGCAGGUUAAUACCCCGCUGUUCUGACGGUACCCAAAGAAUAAGCACCGGCUAACUUCGUG
This 492-nucleotide ribosomal RNA is filed under the name uncultured bacterium. RNAcentral describes it as "partial 16S ribosomal RNA". It matches the Rfam family "Bacterial small subunit ribosomal RNA", at positions 29 to 507 of the family's 1533-position model. The record is from RNAcentral.